AAGUCUUAGAUAGCAUGCAGAUAAGACAACAUCAAACAUGGCAAGAACGGCAAGCAAUAGCUGCAUGGGGACGUAAUGAUAGAAGAAGAAUUUUCACAGAAUAUGUUUGAAGAAAGCCACUGUAUCAUUCAAAAAGUGACCAGUGUCACGAGGCCAUUGCUCUGUAAGAUGUAUGACCAGCAAGAAACACCUUAGUUUUCAAUGUGAUACAAAUACUCCCUCUGGUAUGCCAUUUCAUCGACGGCUAUUGUGUUCUUGUGACCGCUUGGAAGUAUUACAAUCAGAUCAUUUUAUCGAGGCAGAGGGAAACAUUAUAACAAAAGAUGUCUGCGUCCCAUGCUUCGUACCUCAUAAAUGCUGCGAUAUAAGCUGCCAUGGAUCGAUGUCACUUAUUCCCAAUGUUACAGAAUCAAUUGUGGUUGUCACUGAGCGAGGUCGAUUCCCUUUAAAGGGGGCAACUUUCGUUUGCGAUACUUUUGAUUCUCUAACGAAAGCAACAAUCGAUGAUAAUGUAUUUUCUGGGGUUUUCCCGGCAAGUUUAUCGGAAACGGUCACAUACCUGUUUUCAGAAGAGGGACUUCUUCUAUGCCACCACAUUUCCCACAAACGUCUAGGUUCUUCGAAGAACAUGUACGCUCACACUCUUGAAGAAGUAUCUAAGGAAUAUAAACGGAAUGGACCAAUCAAUAUAUUAUUGUUCACUACUGCGGAAAGAGAGUGGGAAACAUGUCACCACUACAUUGACCAGGAAGUAUUUAAAAGGAAAAAAAUUUAUUGCCCCAGUUGCGGAACAAAACCUUUAGUGAGAUUAUCUGAUGCUAUCAUAAAGCUGAGACAUUUGGCGUCUGCCGGAGAAGCAAGGAAACCAGAAAACGAAAGAGUGUAAGCAUUGUUUAUAAGUUAA
Daphnia magna is the source of this 904-nucleotide RNA transcript. RefSeq lists it as uncharacterized. Lineage: Eukaryota; Metazoa; Arthropoda; Branchiopoda; Diplostraca; Daphniidae. The transcript has 4 exons. The record is from RefSeq and is a predicted model, not a curated record.